UUUUCGCAAUGCCCGAAAGGGUGACGAAGCGACGCCGCGUGGGUGAGGAAGGCCUUCGGGUUGUAAAGCCCUGUCAGGAGUUAAGAAAUAUAAGUGCGCUAAUACCGCAUUUAUUUGACAAAGGCUCCAAAGGAAGCCACGGCUAACUCUGUGCCAGCAGCCGCGGUAAUACAGAGGUGGCAAGCGUUGUUCGGAAUUACUGGGCGUAAAGAGCACGUAGGUGGGUUUGUAAGUCAGAUGUGAAAGCCUUCUGUUCAACGGAAGAAUUGCAUCUGAAUCUACGAACCUUGAGUAUAGGAGGGGAGAAUGGAACUUCUGGUGGAGCGGUGAAAUGCGUAGAUAUCAGAAGGAACGUCGGCGGCGAAAGCGAUUCUCUGGCCUGUUACUGACACUGAGUGUGCGAAAGCUAGGGGAGCAAACGGGAUUAGAUACCCCGGUAGUCCUAGCCGUAAACGAUGGGCACUAAGUAGAGGGGUUUU
This 479-nucleotide ribosomal RNA is filed under the name uncultured Planctomycetales bacterium. RNAcentral describes it as "bacterial SSU rRNA". It matches the Rfam family "Bacterial small subunit ribosomal RNA", at positions 363 to 832 of the family's 1533-position model. Lineage: Bacteria; Pseudomonadati; Planctomycetota; Planctomycetia; Planctomycetales. The record is from RNAcentral.